RNAcentral lists this ribosomal RNA (426 nucleotides) under uncultured prokaryote. RNAcentral's name for it is "bacterial SSU rRNA". It matches the Rfam family "Bacterial small subunit ribosomal RNA", at positions 355 to 774 of the family's 1533-position model. The record is from RNAcentral.
UCGAGAAUAUUUCGCAAUGGACGAAAGUCUGACUAUGCGACGCCGCGUGCAGGAUGAAGGUUUUCGGAUUGUAAACUGCUUUUGUUAGGGGAGAAACCUGUAUCAUUAAUAGUGAUACAGCUGACGGUACCUGACGAAUAAGCCACGGCAAACCCUGUGCCAGCAGCCGCGGUAAUACAGGGGUGGCAAGCGUUACUCGGAAUUAUUGGGUGUAAAGGGCAGGUAGGUGGCUUAGCAAGUGAGAGGUGAAAUCCCACGGUUCAAUCGUGGAACUGCCUUUCAAACUGCUGAGCUUGAGAAUGUUAGGGGAGAAUGGAAUUCCCGGUGUAAGGGUGAAAUCUGUAGAUAUCGGGAAGAACACCAACAGCGAAGGCAAUUCUCUGGGACAUUUCUGACACUAAACUGCGAAAGCUAGGGGAGCAAACA